Long non-coding RNA from Girardinichthys multiradiatus, 356 nucleotides. RefSeq lists it as uncharacterized. Lineage: Eukaryota; Metazoa; Chordata; Actinopteri; Cyprinodontiformes; Goodeidae. The transcript has 2 exons. The record is from RefSeq and is a predicted model, not a curated record.
UCCAUCCUAUGGCGUGGAUACCGGAAACAAACUUAUAAGGAAAAGGAGACGCCCUCAGAGCCAUGGCUCUCCGCUGUCUCUAAACAAAAACAAGGUUGAACAGCAUCCAGAUAUCUGCUUCUGGCCUUCUUCCACAGCUCCAACAUCUGCACUGGAGUUGCUAGGAAUGACUGGUUCUUUGACUGCAUGCCCGUGCAUGCAGUGGAAAAUACAAAGAUGCAACUCUACUUUGAGAAUUACCUUGCCUUGCCUUAAAGAAAAAGGCAAGUCUGCAUGUGCACUUCUUUAUGCUACUUUAUUACAUAAAAUCUUAAUAAACUACAGUGACACAUGUGGCUGUAAAGUGACCAACAGAA